Molecule: long non-coding RNA, 211 nt
Organism: Gossypium raimondii (Peruvian cotton)
Lineage: Eukaryota; Viridiplantae; Streptophyta; Magnoliopsida; Malvales; Malvaceae
Exons: 3
Source: RefSeq, a predicted model, not a curated record
AACAAAAGUUCUUUUUUUGUUGUGUUCUUGAACAGUCCUUAAGGAAAGCUAGUUCAGAUCGAGCAUGCCUUGACAGCAGUAGGAUCGGGUCAAACAUCUCUUGGAAUCAAAGCUGCUAAUGGGGUGGUAAUUGCUACUGAGAAGAAAUUGCCUUCAAUCUUGGUUGAUGAAACCUCUGUUCAGAAAAUACAGUGUCUAACAGCAAAUAUUG